RNAcentral lists this ribosomal RNA (505 nucleotides) under uncultured bacterium. RNAcentral's name for it is "bacterial SSU rRNA". It matches the Rfam family "Bacterial small subunit ribosomal RNA", at positions 36 to 573 of the family's 1533-position model. The record is from RNAcentral.
CUGGCGGCGUGCCUAACACAUGCAAGUCGAACGAGAAAGUGGAGCAAUCCAUGAGUAAAGUGGCGACCGGGUGAGUAACACGUGACUAACCUGCCCUUGAGUGGGGGAUAACCUCGGGAAACCGGGGCUAAUACCGCAUAACAUCGCAAGAUCAAAGGAGCAAUCCGCUGAAGGAGGGGGUCGCGGCUGAUUAGUUAGUUGGUGAGGUAACGGCUCACCAAGACGAAGAUCAGUAGCCGGCCUGAGAGGGCGCACGGCCACACUGGAACUGAAACACGGUCCAGACUCCUACGGGAGGCAGCAGUGGGGAAUUUUGCGCAAUGGGGGAAACCCUGACGCAGCAACGCCGCGUGGAGGAUGAAGUCCCUUGGGAUGUAAACUCCUUUCGAUCGGGACGAUAAUGACGGUACCGGAAGAAGAAGCACCGGCUAACUCUGUGCCAGCAGCCGCGGUAAUACAGAGGGUGCGAGCGUNGUUCGGAAUUAUUGGGCGUAAAGGGCGCGUA